UAGAUUAAAGUCCGCUGGUUUGGGCUUUAAGUUGUUAACUAAAUAUUUACGGGAUCGAGGCCCGUUGAUCUAG
This 73-nucleotide transfer RNA is filed under the name Hoplodactylus sp. Marlborough Mini. RNAcentral describes it as "tRNA-Asn". The record is from RNAcentral. Lineage: Eukaryota; Metazoa; Chordata; Lepidosauria; Squamata; Diplodactylidae.